RNAcentral lists this ribosomal RNA (254 nucleotides) under uncultured bacterium. RNAcentral describes it as "partial 16S ribosomal RNA". It matches the Rfam family "Bacterial small subunit ribosomal RNA", at positions 524 to 776 of the family's 1533-position model. The record is from RNAcentral.
UACGGGGGGGGCAAGCGUUGUUCGGAAUUACUGGGCGUAAAGGGCUCGUAGGCGGCCAACUAAGUCAGACGUGAAAUCCCUCGGCUUAACCGGGGAACUGCGUCUGAUACUGGAUGGCUUGAGUGUGGGAGAGGGAUGCGGAAUUCCAGGUGUAGCGGUGAAAUGCGUAGAUAUCUGGAGGAACACCGGUGGCGAAGGCGGCAUCCUGGACCAUGACUGACGCUGAGUGAGCGAAAGCGUGGGGAGCGAACAGG